UACGUAGGUGGCAAGCGUUGUCCGGAAUUAUUGGGCGUAAAGCGCGCGCAGGCGGCCUUUUAAGUCUGAUGUGAAAUCUUGCGGCUCAACCGCAAGCGGCCAUUGGAAACUGGGAGGCUUGAGUACAGAAGAGGAGAGUGGAAUUCCACGUGUAGCGGUGAAAUGCGUAGAUAUGUGGAGGAACACCAGUGGCGAAGGCGACUCUCCGGUCUGUAACUGACGCUGAGGCGCGAAAGCGUGGGGAGCAAAC
RNAcentral lists this ribosomal RNA (250 nucleotides) under uncultured prokaryote. RNAcentral describes it as "partial 16S ribosomal RNA". It matches the Rfam family "Bacterial small subunit ribosomal RNA", at positions 524 to 773 of the family's 1533-position model. The record is from RNAcentral.